Long non-coding RNA from Gallus gallus (chicken), 3734 nucleotides. NCBI's taxonomy places the organism in Eukaryota, Metazoa, Chordata, Aves, Galliformes, Phasianidae. The record is from Ensembl.
CCCGGAGCUGCCCGAGCCGGACCGGGCCGGGCCGGGGCCGCCGCACAGCGCAGCGAGGAGCUCUCCCCGCUAAGUGCCAUUUGCGUUUGGCUGCCUCGCACCGCCCGUCUCUCUUCUCUUCUUUCCUUCCCCCCUUCCUCCCCCUUUUGUCUCUCUUCUAUUUCUCUUUUUGCCCUCUUUCCCCCAUUCUCCCCCCCCCCCCCCCUUUUUUUCCCUCCGCAUCCCAUCUCUCAUAGUUCUGGGUCCAGCAGCUCUCGCCGAUCCGAAGUUGUUUUGCUCCGACAAGCACCUAGAGGUUAAUUUCUUGAAGUGCCCCAUGAAAAGCGAUUAGCCUGGCUCCCGAGAAGUAUUUUCUAAUUACGUGCAAGCCCUCGCUCUGCUGCUACCCCAUAAUUAAACCUCUUCAAGGUGCUGCACUUCAAAUAUUUCGCUCCCGGGGCCGCUGCCAGGAGCCGAGAGCUCCGGCCCCCCGCACCCCCCACACCCCAAAACCCCAUCGCAGAGACACGCAACAAAUCACUGCGUCUCUCUCCCCCGGCAGUCACCACGCGCGGGGCAGCACCUCAGGGUUCCAGCACCGCUUUUUCUCGCCGGGCUGCGGGAGCUCCGCCAGCGGCUGCCCGGCGCGCAGGGCUUUAUCCUGGGGAGAAAAUCACUGCGGGGCACUGGGAGAGGCGCUUUAAGAACAGGGGUUGGGGCCGCCCGUUCCCGGUCCCCGUUCUCCUCGCAGUUCAACCCCGUAUAUUCUAACGGGGCUCACGUAGGGGUCACCCCUUUAAAGAAAUCCUUUUCUUCCCUUCCUGCUCCCCGUUUCCUCCCUCUGACAUCCGGUGUUGGGGGCUGAGGGCUGAGGGCUGAGGACAGGGCACAGCGCGCCGCCUCCCGUCCCCUCGGCCGCCCGAGGUCCCCACUGAAAUUCGGGGUGGGCGAAGCGACCGCAGCCCCCUCGGAACCCCGGCAGCUUUCCUGGGAGCGGCGGCGGCGGGCAGAGCCCGGCCUCUCGGCUGCCCUUCCCCUCCGCAGCCGGGUUUUCACCGUAUUAUCGACAAUUAAAAAUAGAUUUUUAUUAUUGUUGUUGUUGAAAAUCACCACAUCUGUCAGGUUGCUCCCGUGCCAGGCGCGAUGCGACACAUCCAGAGCGACUGGUGCUUCCGAGCAGGGCCGGGCCGGGUUGUCGGUGGCAUCUCCCCAGCAGCGUUACAGAGAUUUUCCCAUGGCCGCGGGUAAGGGCUCGGCUGCCGCUGACUCGCGGGACGCCGCCGGCUUUAUCCCAGCCGUUCCCCGGGGAGCGAACGAAUGAGGCCCGGUGGCAGCGUCCCGGCUCGGGAUGGGGCCGACGGGCACCGCCGCGAUUCCACCCACGGGCGGGGGACGGACCCCCCCGGGGCGGAGGAGCGGGAGGGGAGAGCCGGCCCCUUCCCCGCCCUGCCCCCUGCCCGGCCCCUGGCCUGGCCCGGCCCUGCCCUGUCCCUGCCCCGUCCCCGUCCUUGUUCCUGCCUCUGUCCCUGUCGCUGUCCCCGUCUCCGUCCCUAUCCCUUUCCCUGCCCAUACCCUGCCCCCGUCCCCCGUCCCUGUCCCUGUUCCUGUCCUUGCCCCUGCCAGGCAGUGCCCGUGGCACCUCUGUGCGCCUCCCUGCACCACUGUGCACCUCCUGGUCUCUCUUUGCUGGCGGCCGUGGAGGCCAACAUCGAAAAUAAGGAAAUAAUGAUAAUAAAAAGACUUUUUUUGGAAAACGUAGCUGAGAUCCACGAGGUAAACGCGAGCUUAGUGCCCGAUUGUAUGGUGUUCGCACGGGGAAAAGGAAAAGAUGGAAGGUAAAAGAAAGAACUGAAUAAGAAAUGAAAUAAAAUGAAAUAGAAGACAGAUAAUAGAAGAAAGGGGGAAAAAAGAAAACAGAAGGAAAGAAUAAAAAUAAAACAAAAUGAAACGAAGGAAAAAGAGUGAAAGAAGGUCAGGAAUGGAAAAGAACGAAAAGGAAAAAUGGAAAUGAAAAAGGAAAUGGAAAAAGGAAAAGGAAAAAUGGGAAAAGAAAAUGAAAAAGUACGAAAUUAAAAGAAAGGAAAGGAAAGGAAAGGAAAGGAAAGGAAAGGAAAGGAAAGGAAAGGAAAGGAAAGGAAAGGAAAGGAAAGGAAAGGAAAGGAAAGGAAAGGAAAGGAAAGGAAAGGAUGGAAGAGAAGAGAAGAGAAGAGAAGAGAAGAGAAGAGAAGAGAAGAGAAGAGAAGAGAAGAGAAGAGAAGAGAAGAGAAGAGAGAAAUAAAGGAAAAGGAAAAGAAGGAAUAAUGAAGGAAAAGAGAAGAAAAAUAAAACAAGAAAAGAAAAGAAAAGAAAAGAAAAAGAGGAAAGAGAGAGAAAGGAAAAUGAAAUAAAAGAAUAAGAGGAAAGGGAAAAGAAACGGAAAAAAAAAAAAAAAAGAAAAGAAAAGAAAAGAGAAGGCCAACGAUUUCUCAGGGCGGAGGCAGAGCAGCCCGGCCCGCUGCCCGCUGCCCGCUCCGGCGGAGCGCUGAGCACUCGCUUGCUUCAAGCGUGACCCGGGCGCGGCUGUGGGUGGCCCUGGGUGGCACCAGGUGGGACCGGGUGGCGCUGGGCUGCAUUUCCCUGCCCGGGUGCCCGCUCUUUGUUCAACCGAGGCUGCACCUCACGAACCCACCGACCCGAGGGGCAGCCAGGGCCGAUCCAGCAGCCUUUUCCCGGCAUCGUGGGAAAGUUUCUUGGUUCGAGGAAAUAAAUAAAGCGUGCCUCCUCCCAAAAAAGAAACAAAAUCAUCCUAAAAAAAGAAAAGGAAGUUAGUAAACGCAAUAAAGCUCGCAGCGAAACUUCUGCCCCUGUCUUCGAGUCGCAGAAGCGUUGCGAAUAACUUUGCGAAGAGGGACGAACGAGAACGGUUCCCGAGCGCUGCGGGGUGGGAGCGUCCCCUGCAGCCCCCGACCCCCCACCCCCCCCCUCCCCGGCCCCUCCCGACGAGCAGCGACUCCUCUCCCCUCACCCCUCUUCCCUCUCCCAUCUCCCCUCGCCCACCCGCGGAGGCAGAGGAGAUUCGGAGUGGUGCAGCAAAAGAACCCUCGACGGCGUUUUUAUUGAAUUUUCCACGCAUCGCGUGUCCCUCUGCCCCACUCCCCCCUCGCACCGCAGACUCCCGUGGCCGUGGGGCUGUGUCGCUUCUCCGCUUUCCCCGUGCCUCGGAGGAGUUAAUCAGCGCAGACACAACAGCUCGUGUUAUGACGGCGGAGUUCGGCAACCCUACACCGAGCCGGGCUCGGCCGGGACCCGGGCUGCCCCACGAGGACUUGAAUUCCUCGGACUGCCCGAAUUUACACCUCGGCGUGGGCCCGGCAGCCAGAAAGCCACCGCGCUAAUGAACCGGGUGCUGCCCCAGCUCCACCCGGCAUCAGUUCUGCUGCCGUCUCGAAGGCGAUUUUCCAGCUGUUCCGAGAGCAUCGGCCUCCGUACGCUCGCACACAUACACACACGAUUCAUUUUUUUCGUGAUUUCCAAUGGGGGGAAAAAAAAAAAACACCAAAAAAAAGAAAAAAAAAAAAGGAGUUGUUGCAGGGAAUUCCCUUUAGGAAGGCAGAAUGCAGGCUGGGUGCGGGGGACGGUGGAGAAUGCUCGUCCUCUCUCUGCUCCGUGGAAAAGUUUCUCGGGAAGUCGGCCGGCCCCGAGUCCCGCACUGCCCGUCGGGCCUCUCCCCGCCCGCUGAUGGGGGCGGCGGGCAUCGACCCCCCCGGGAGCCCUCG